RNAcentral lists this ribosomal RNA (492 nucleotides) under uncultured bacterium. RNAcentral's name for it is "partial 16S ribosomal RNA". It matches the Rfam family "Bacterial small subunit ribosomal RNA", at positions 29 to 507 of the family's 1533-position model. The record is from RNAcentral.
AGUGAACGCUGGCGGUAGGCCUAACACAUGCAAGUCGAACGGCAGCACAGUAAGAGCUUGCUCUUACGGGUGGCGAGUGGCGGACGGGUGAGGAAUACAUCGGCAUCUACUUUUUCGUGGGGGAUAACGUAGGGAAACUUACGCUACUACCGCAUACGACCUACGGGUGAAAGCAGGAGAUCUUCGGACCUUGCGCGUUUGAAUGAGCCGAUGUCGGAUUAGCUAGUUGGCGGGGUAAAGGCCCACCAAGGCGACGAUCCGUAGCUGGUCUGAGAGGAUGAUCAGCCACACUGGAACUGAGACACGGUCCAGACUCCUACGGGAGGCAGCAGUGGGGAAUAUUGGACAAUGGGCGCAAGCCUGAUCCAGCCAUACCGCGUGGGUGAAGAAGGCCUUCGGGUUGUAAAGCCCUUUUGUUGGGAAAGAAAAGCAGCAGGUUAAUACCCCGCUGUUCUGACGGUACCCAAAGAAUAAGCACCGGCUAACUUCGUG